GCACGUAGUUAGCCGGUGCUUAUUCUUCAGGUACCGUCAUUAGCAUUCCGUAUUAGGAAACACCGUUUCUUCCCUAACAAAAGGGCUUUACAACCCGAAGGCCUUCUUCACUCACGCGGCAUUGCUGGAUCAGGGUUGCCCCCAUUGUCCAAAAUUCCCCA
RNAcentral lists this ribosomal RNA (161 nucleotides) under uncultured bacterium. RNAcentral's name for it is "partial 16S ribosomal RNA". The record is from RNAcentral.